Molecule: ribosomal RNA, 481 nt
Filed under: uncultured bacterium
Lineage: Bacteria
Description: bacterial SSU rRNA
Rfam family: Bacterial small subunit ribosomal RNA
Source: RNAcentral
AUGGCUCAGGACGAACGCUGGUGGCGUGCUUAACACAUGCAAGUCGAGCGAUGAAGCUCUUCGGGAGUGGAUUAGCGGCGGACGGGUGAGUAACACGUGGGUAACCUGCCUCAUAGAGGGGAAUAGCCUUUCGAAAGGAAGAUUAAUACCGCAUAAGAUUGUAGUACCGCAUGGUACAGCAAUUAAAGGAGUAAUCCGCUAUGAGAUGGACCCGCGUCGCAUUAGCUAGUUGGUGAGGUAACGGCUCACCAAGGCGACGAUGCGUAGCCGACCUGAGAGGGUGAUCGGCCACAUUGGGACUGAGACACGGCCCAGACUCCUACGGGAGGCAGCAGUGGGGAAUAUUGCACAAUGGGGGAAACCCUGAUGCAGCAACGCCGCGUGAGUGAUGACGGCCUUCGGGUUGUAAAACUCUGUCUUUGGGGACGAUAAUGACGGUACCCAAGGAGGAAGCCACGGCUAACUACGUGCCAGCCGCAGC